Molecule: ribosomal RNA, 304 nt
Filed under: uncultured bacterium
Lineage: Bacteria
Description: partial 16S ribosomal RNA
Rfam family: Bacterial small subunit ribosomal RNA
Source: RNAcentral
CAGCAGUCGCCACGGUAAUACGUAGGUGGCAAGCGUUGUCCGGAAUUAUUGGGCGUAAAGCGCGCGCAGGUGGUUUAAUAAGUCUGAUGUGAAAGCCCACGGCUCAACCGUGGAGGGUCAUUGGAAACUGUUAAACUUGAGUGCAGGAGAGAAAAGUGGAAUUCCUAGUGUAGCGGUGAAAUGCGUAGAGAUUAGGAGGAACACCAGUGGCGAAGGCGGCUUUUUGGCCUGUAACUGACACUGAGGCGCGAAAGCGUGGGGAGCAAACAGGAUUAGAUACCCCUGUAGUCCCUGUCUCUUAUAC